RNAcentral lists this unclassified non-coding RNA (1609 nucleotides) under Rhagoletis pomonella (apple maggot). Its description in RNAcentral is "protein RCC2 homolog, transcript variant X6". The record is from RNAcentral. Lineage: Eukaryota; Metazoa; Arthropoda; Insecta; Diptera; Tephritidae.
UCGAUGCAUCGUUUGCAUCCUAGCUAGUAUCGUUUGAUCCUUCGUUUGAGCGUCACUUAUAUUGGGAUACUUUUGUGGAAUAUUUGAGGUUCAAGGCCUAAAAAGUUAUAAAAAUCCCAAGAAUCAAUCAUCUCGCAUUAUGUCCGCAAAACGUAAAUCUGGUGGAAACGGAGCAGGACCGAACAAGCGUCAUUCCAAGAAGCAAAAUGAUUUUGAAGAAGUUCUAAGUGAUGCUUCGAGUGAUGAAGGCCAAUCUACCUCUAACCAAGUUGAAGUUUUAAUACCUAAUGAUAAUCUAGAACCGCCCAGCAAGCUCCCAGAAGAAUUACUGACAUCUUUUGAUAAAACGCCGGGACAAAUGCUCAUUGCUGGAAUGGUCACAUGGGAUUUGACCGGGAAACGAGAUCGGAAAAAUGUAGUGAAAGUUCGACCAAAUCUAUUUAAUUUUCACCGAUUUACUGAUGAAAAGUACCGAUAUUGCGCAAGUGGCCCUAGCUCUGCGCAUACGCUUCUUAUUAAUAUGGGUCGUAAGGCAAUUGCUUUUGGGCGCAAUCCAUCAGGUCAGUUGGGCUUGCCUGAUGUGAAGAUAUGUGAACGGCCUACUAUGAUACCAGGGUUGGAAAAAUUUAAUAUCGUGGAGGUGGCAUGUGGUCGUCAUCAUUCCCUUUUUUUGACUGAUACAGGUACUGUUUACGCUUGUGGAGAAAAUAAGUCUGGUCAAUGUGGUAUUGGUAACACUCAGCCAGUAGUAAACAUACCAACACCGAUAAACUACCGUGGUCCGCCAAUUAUUCGUAUUGGAUGCGGCGCGGAAUUUUCAGCGAUUCUUGAUAUCAAAGGUAAUCUGCACACAUUUGGAUUACCUGAAUAUGGUCAGCUGGGUCAUAAUACAGAUGCAAAGUACUUUGUCAACGCCAACAAAUUAUCCUUCCACUUUGAAACUUCGCCUAAAAAAGUUCUUCUUUACAUAGAAAAAAAUAAGGAAGGACAUGUAACACCUGUGGACAAUGUUCAAAUUGUGGAUUUUGCGUGUGGUAAUAAUCAUACGCUUAAGCACUGCAACGCAUGAAAUUUCUUCAGUCAGCUGGUUAUCGUUGUGAGAGCAAGAUGGGAGAUUCAUCGCCUGCGCCAAGUUUUGACGUAACUUUGAAAAGGGUGAUGGAUGAAAUAUUGAAUGACUCUGAAGAGGAGAACGCGAAGCCCGGCGAACUUAAAAAAUUUUACGAAAGUGCCAAGCACAUUCUGGACAUGAAUGGGUCACCCAGCACGUCGAGGAACAUUUUACGAACCCUUCAGACCAUAAUUCGUAAAACGUAAAAGGAUUUCGUGCUUAUGGAAACAAAAUAUAAGGAAAAGGCUGCGGGAAAGUGGAAAACCUUAUACAGGAAGGGAAAACAAAGAGGAGGAAGAAAGCUGGGUUCACCAUGUGCAGAUAAGUGCCUAUACCUGUGCAAUUCAAAUUUUAUAGGGAAUGACCGCACCGAACUCCUUCACAAAUUUUGGAUACAAAUUCCUAGCCCAUUAGCAUUAGUACAAAUUUAAAAAAAUGUAAAAUAUCCCAAAACCCAUUUGAAAAUUCUUCAAAUGGCUCCUGAAGAUUUCAAAAAUU